Molecule: ribosomal RNA, 689 nt
Filed under: Typhlias pearsei
Lineage: Eukaryota; Metazoa; Chordata; Actinopteri; Ophidiiformes; Bythitidae
Description: partial small subunit ribosomal RNA
Rfam family: Bacterial small subunit ribosomal RNA
Source: RNAcentral
GGGGACGAAUAGCCAGUUGAUAGUAUCCGGCGUAAAGCGUGGUUAAGGAAUCCAGACAACCAAACUAAAGUCGAACGCCCCCAAAGCCGUUAUACGCACCUGGCGGUAUGAAGCACAAUUACAAAAGUAACUUUAACACCUCCCUGAACCCACGAAAUCUAAGACACAAACUGGGAUUAGAUACCCCACUAUGCUUAGUCCUAAACAUAGAUAGCCCCGCUUACACCCACUAUCCGCCAAGGAAUUACGAGCACCAGCUUAAAACCUAAAGGACUUGGCGGUGCUUUAAACCCCCUAGAGGAGCCUGUUCUAGAAUCGACAAUCCCCGUUCAACCUCACCCCCCCUUGUUCUUUCCGCCUAUAUACCGCCGUCGUCAGCUUACCCUAUUGAAGGCCUAGCACAGUGAGCGAAAUUGAUAAAACCCAAAACGUCAGGUCAAGGUGUAGCACAUGGAGUGGGAAGAAAUGGGCUACAUUUUCUACUUAGAAAACUACGGAAGGCUUGCUGAAACGCAGGCCCUAAGGAGGAUUUAGUAGUAAGCAGGAAUUAGAGCGUCCUGCCGAAACUGGCCCUAAAGCACGCACACACCGCCCGUCACUCUCCCCAAGCUCUACUAUUUUUACCCAAUAAAUAAACACAAGUACAGAUGCAAAGGGGAGACAAGUCGUAACAUGGUAAGUGUACCGGA